CCUACGGGUGGCAGCAGUGAGGAAUAUUGGUCAAUGGGCGCGAGCCUGAACCAGCCAAGUAGCGUGAAGGAUGACUGCCCUACGGGUUGUAACCUUCUUUUAUAAAGGAAUAAAGUGAGGCACGUGUGCCUUUUUGUAUGUACUUUAUGAAUAAGGAUCGGCUAACUCCGUGCCAGCAGCCGCGGUAAUACGGAGGAUACGAGCGUUAUCCGGAUUUAUUGGGUUUAAAGGGAGCGUAGAUGGGUUGUUAAGUCAGUUGUGAAAGUUUGCGGCUCAACCGUAAAAUUGCAAUUGAUACUGGCAGUCUUGAGUACAGUAGAGGUAUGCGGAAUUCGUGGUGUAGCGGUGAAAUGCUUAGAUAUCACGAAGAACUCCGAUUGCGAAGGCAGCUUACUAGACUGCAACUGACGUUGAUGCUCGAAAGUGUGGGUAUCAAACAGGAUUAGAUACCCUAGUAGUC
Molecule: ribosomal RNA, 460 nt
Filed under: uncultured bacterium
Lineage: Bacteria
Description: partial 16S ribosomal RNA
Rfam family: Bacterial small subunit ribosomal RNA
Source: RNAcentral